GAUGAACGCUGGCGGCGUGCCUAAUACAUGCAAGUCGAGCGAACAGAUGAGGAGCUUGCUCCUCUGACGUUAGCGGCGGACGGGUGAGUAACACGUGGAUAACCUACCUAUAAGACUGGGAUAACUUCGGGAAACCGGAGCUAAUACCGGAUAAUAUAUUGAACCGCAUGGUUCAGUAGUGAAAGACGGUUUUGCUGUCACUUAUAGAUGGAUCCGCGCCGCAUUAGCUAGUUGGUAAGGUAACGGCUUACCAAGGCAACGAUGCGUAGCCGACCUGGGAGGGUGAUCGGCCACACUGGAACUGAGACACGGUCCAGACUCCUACGGGAGGCAGCAGUAGGGAAUCUUCCGCAAUGGGCGAAAGCCUGACGGAGCAACGCCGCGUGAGUGAUGAAGGUCUUCGGAUCGUAAAACUCUGUUAUUAGGGAAGAACAAAUGUGUAAGUAACUAUGCACGUCUUGACGGUACCUAAUCAGAAAGCCACGGCUAACUACGUG
This 497-nucleotide ribosomal RNA is filed under the name uncultured bacterium. RNAcentral describes it as "partial 16S ribosomal RNA". It matches the Rfam family "Bacterial small subunit ribosomal RNA", at positions 28 to 507 of the family's 1533-position model. The record is from RNAcentral.